This 376-nucleotide ribosomal RNA is filed under the name uncultured bacterium. RNAcentral describes it as "bacterial SSU rRNA". It matches the Rfam family "Bacterial small subunit ribosomal RNA", at positions 524 to 898 of the family's 1533-position model. The record is from RNAcentral.
UACGUAGGGUGCGAGCGUUGCCCGGAUUUAUUGGGCGUAAAGGGCGCGUAGGCGGCUCUGCACGUCCGUUGUGAAAUCGCCCGGCUCAACUGGGCGGGGUCAGCGGAUACGGCAGAGCUCGAGCAAGCUAGGGGGCAAUGGAAUUCCCGGUGUAGUGGUGGAAUGCGUAGAUAUCGGGAGGAACACCAGUGGCGAAGGCGGUUGCCUGGGGCUUUGCUGACGCUGAGGCGCGAAAGCGUGGGGAGCGAUCCGGAUUAGAUACCCGGGUAGUCCACGCCGUAAACGAUGUCGACUAGGUGUCGGGGGUAUCGACCCCCUCGGCGCCGCAGCUAACGCAUUAAGUCGACCGCCUGGGGACUACGGCCGCAAGGCUAAA